Molecule: ribosomal RNA, 473 nt
Filed under: uncultured bacterium
Lineage: Bacteria
Description: bacterial SSU rRNA
Rfam family: Bacterial small subunit ribosomal RNA
Source: RNAcentral
GGCCGCGGGAAUUCGAUUCAGGCCUAACACAUGCAAGUCGAACGGUAACGGGAAGCAGCUUGCUGCUUUGCUGACGAGUGGCGGACGGGUGAGUAAUGUCUGGGAAACUGCCUGAUGGAGGGGGAUAACUACUGGAAACGGUAGCUAAUACCGCAUAACGUCGCAAGACCAAAGAGGGGGACCUUCGGGCCUCUUGCCAUCGGAUGUGCCCAGAUGGGAUUAGCUUGUUGGUGGGGUAACGGCUCACCAAGGCGACGAUCCCUAGCUGGUCUGAGAGGAUGACCAGCCACACUGGAACUGAGACACGGUCCAGACUCCUACGGGAGGCAGCAGUGGGGAAUAUUGCACAAUGGGCGCAAGCCUGAUGCAGCCAUGCCGCGUGUAUGAAGAAGGCCUUCGGGUUGUAAAGUACUUUCAGCGGGGAGGAAGGGAGUAAAGUUAAUACCUUACUCAUCGACGUACCCGCAGAAGAA